This 68-nucleotide transfer RNA is filed under the name Marmota monax (woodchuck). RNAcentral's name for it is "tRNA.Ala". Lineage: Eukaryota; Metazoa; Chordata; Mammalia; Rodentia; Sciuridae. The record is from RNAcentral.
GGAUUGUGGCUCAGUGGCAGAAUACUCGUCUAGCACAUGCAAGGCCCUGGGUUCAAUCCUCAGCACCA